RNAcentral lists this ribosomal RNA (301 nucleotides) under uncultured bacterium. Its description in RNAcentral is "partial 16S ribosomal RNA". It matches the Rfam family "Bacterial small subunit ribosomal RNA", at positions 509 to 807 of the family's 1533-position model. The record is from RNAcentral.
CAGCAGCCGCGGUAAUACGUAGGGUGCAAGCGUUAAUCGGAAUUACUGGGCGUAAAGCGUGCGCAGGCGGUUAUAUAAGACAGAUGUGAAAUCCCCGGGCUCAACCUGGGAACUGCAUUUGUGACUGUAUAGCUAGAGUACGGCAGAGGGGGAUGGAAUUCCGCGUGUAGCAGUGAAAUGCGUAGAUAUGCGGAGGAACACCGAUGGCGAAGGCAAUCCCCUGGGCCUGUACUGACGCUCAUGCACGAAAGCGUGGGGAGCAAACAGGAUUAGAUACCCAAGUAGUCCCUGUCUCUUAUAC